CCCUCCUCAAGAUGGCGCUGCACUCAACGCGGAAGACGCGUGGGUACUGGAGCUUCAUCCGGGCACUUCACAAAGGACCCGAAGCUGCCCCUGCUCCCCAGAAAGAUGCUGUCAGGCGAGUGUUCUCAGGCAUUCAGCCUACAGGGAUCCCUCACCUCGGCAAUUACCUGGGGGCCAUCGAGAGCUGGGUGAGCCUACAGGAUGAGCCCGGCUCCGUGCUGUACAGCAUCGUUGACCUGCACUCCAUCACGGUCCCCCAAGACCCAGCCGUGCUGCGGCAGAGCGUCCGGGACAUGACGGCCGCGCUCCUUGCCUGCGGCAUAAACCCGGAGAAGAGCACCCUUUUCCAGCAGUCUCAGGUGGCCGAACACACACAAUUAAGUUGGAUCCUCACCUGCAUGGUCAGACUACCCCGAUUACAGCAUUUACACCAGUGGAAGGCAAAGACUGCCAGGCAGAAGCACGAUGGAACCGUGGGCCUGCUCACGUACCCGGUGCUCCAGGCGGCUGACAUCCUGCUAUACAACAGAUACUUGUUUAGCACCUGCAAUGCCACACAUCCAGGGAAAGGCAGGGGCGUGGACUUGAGGGAGAGGGGAGGAAGGAACCAGCAUGUGGCAAGUGCUGCCGCCCGGCCGUGCUGGCUGCUGCGGCUGCUGCACACACGUCACCUUUUCCGGGUCUCGCCGCUGCAGCUCUGCCACGCAGCUCAGUGGUGUUUUCCCAUGUUGCAGAGAAGGAAGUGAAGUUUCAGGGAGGUGCUGCUAACUACUCGGAUGGAGAUGGGAGUGAUUGCCUGGCUACUGACUUUCUUUCUCAAGAAUUUGAACAGGGAAAUGUGGGAAGAGGAUAAGAAGAUAGUGAAAGCGAAAGCCGAGGUGACAAAGGAAAACGAGGAAACAGAGGCGUCAAGGAACAGUGAGUGUGCAGAACGAAGAGCAGACAAUAGCAGAGCAGAGCCAGUAAGCAGACUGGUUGGUGACAUCCCUCCCGCUAAUGCCACAGAAGGGCUGAGUCAGUAUCAGGUCUGAGGGUCAGACCCUGCCACUGAGGACAGUCGAGAUGAUCGUCCCUCGAACUGCUUUGGAGACUGACUUCCAGGUCCUGGCUGACAUCCUUUGUCUGUGAGGCCAGGCCAGGCUGUCCCGUCUCCAGGAGGUCCUGGAAGCUGCCAGCCGGACCUCCUCUCAGCGGUCUCCUGAUGUCCUCACACUCUCGGGCCACUGCCAAAGCAAUGGUCUCUUCUCCGUCUCACUUCCCAGCUCUCAGGCAGGCGCCACACAGAGCCGGCACCUCCCGGAAGGCACUCUGAGGAAUAGCCUUCAGGGAGAGAAGAGCCCUGCCAUGUCAACAGGCCACCCAGGACAUUCUCCUACAAGCCGUGGGGAGCUGUCUGUGCAUCUUAAGGACGGUGUGAACUAAUGCUAUGUAUACUUUCAAAAGAGAACUGAUUAACAUACAGAAACUAAGCUGGGGGACAAAAGCAGCUGGGGCAGUCUGCUGAGAGGCUCUUUCCUAGUCUGUUUGGACCCGGAGGGUGACAGUAAAGUUGAAAAGAGGAGACAAACUUGGAGAUGUUAGGAGGCGAACUGCAUAGGCCUCCUAAUGGAGCGGACGCGUGUGGGGAGAGGCAUCUGGGACGACUUUGCAUUUCUGACUCCGCUCCUGGACCGGUGGCAUCGUGGCUCACUGAGGUAGGGACACCGCAAGGGGACUGGCCAGAAGGGCGUGUGGCUUCAUUGAGUGUUGUCUCUGCUCCCGGAAGCCUUGACUCCAUAGACGGAUACGUCUGUCUCUGCCAGCUGCCCGCCCCAGGCUUUGCACACCGCAGGUCUUCAGUAAGUAAUUGCUACACCAGAGUCCUCACGGCGAAUUCAGCAAGCAACCAGUGACGGUGAAUUAAUCCUUUAUAAAAGGAAAAACAGCACCAAACUCCUGUCCUAGUUGGGCUGGUUAAAGGCCGCAGCGUGGAAAGCUCACAGCCAAAGAAGUGGGGGGCAGGGGGCAACCAAGAGAACGAAUCUCUGCCCGCAGAUCUAUGUAGGCAAUGAUUAUUCAUCUAGACACUAAUUCUGCCAAAGGGUUGGGGUGGAUCCCCAGUGAACGUAAACGCGACGAGGAACUCAGCAAAAGAAAAAUGGUUUAGUCACCAGAGAAGAUCAGACGCAUUAUUAUGUGACAGAAGUUAUAACAAUCAAAAUUAUGAAAGGCUUUUGUUUUAUGUUGUGUCUAAGAAAGCACACUCAGGGUCCACACACGUCCCUGUCGGGGAGGAUCAAGUGCAGCACAUGGAGCUAGUUCAGGAUCUCGCUCGAG
Molecule: RNA transcript, 2316 nt
Organism: Artibeus jamaicensis (Jamaican fruit-eating bat)
Lineage: Eukaryota; Metazoa; Chordata; Mammalia; Chiroptera; Phyllostomidae
Gene: WARS2
Gene name: tryptophanyl tRNA synthetase 2, mitochondrial
Exons: 6
Source: RefSeq, a predicted model, not a curated record